This 319-nucleotide non-coding RNA is filed under the name Pseudomonas palmensis. RNAcentral's name for it is "rne-II RNA". It matches the Rfam family "rne-II RNA". The record is from RNAcentral. Lineage: Bacteria; Pseudomonadati; Pseudomonadota; Gammaproteobacteria; Pseudomonadales; Pseudomonadaceae.
AUACGUGUAGGGUGGAGAUGCACAACCGUCGGACCGUGUAGCACUGCGUCCAGUCCACAGGCCCUCUGGCCCGCGACCGGACCCGGUCUUGAUCAAGAUGCCCCAGGGUGUCCACGGCCGAAGGCUGAUUCCUCCUCCUGACUGAGUGCAUUUGACACCACAGCUAGCAGGACGCGUCGUCGCGACUUCGGCAGCACUGGGCGACCAGUCCGACCGCAAGCCGCUGGACACGGGAUGGUCCGCCACCCCUGACGCACCCUGACACCGACCGUGAGAAGUCGUGUGUGCCGAACGCCGUUUCCGGCAGCCCGGAAACCGA